This 301-nucleotide ribosomal RNA is filed under the name uncultured bacterium. RNAcentral's name for it is "partial 16S ribosomal RNA". It matches the Rfam family "Bacterial small subunit ribosomal RNA", at positions 509 to 807 of the family's 1533-position model. The record is from RNAcentral.
CAGCCGCCGCGGUAAUACGUAGGUGGCAAGCGUUGUCCGGAAUUAUUGGGCGUAAAGGGCUCGCAGGCGGUUUCUUAAGUCUGAUGUGAAAGCCCCCGGCUCAACCGGGGAGGGUCAUUGGAAACUGGGAAACUUGUGUGCAGAAGAGGAGAGUGGAAUUCCACGUGUAGCGGUGAAAUGCGUAGAGAUGUGGAGGAACACCAGUGGUGAAGGCGACUCUCUGGUCUGUAACUGACGCUGAGGAGCGAAAGCGUGGGGAGCGAACAGGAUUAGAUACCCGCGUAGUCCCUGUCUCUUAUAC